This 253-nucleotide ribosomal RNA is filed under the name uncultured bacterium. RNAcentral's name for it is "partial 16S ribosomal RNA". It matches the Rfam family "Bacterial small subunit ribosomal RNA", at positions 524 to 776 of the family's 1533-position model. The record is from RNAcentral.
UACGGGGGGGGCAAGCGUUGUUCGGAAUUAUUGGGCGGAAAGAGCUCGUAGGCGGUCUGUCGCGUCUGCUGUGAAAUCUCAGGGCUUAACCCUGAGCUUGCAGUGGGUACGGGCAGACUAGAGUGCGGUAGGGGAGACUGGAAUUCCUGGUGUAGCGGUGAAAUGCGCAGAUAUCAGGAGGAACACCGGUGGCGAAGGCGGGUCUCUGGGCCGUAACUGACGCUGAGGAGCGAAAGCAUGGGGAGCGAACAGG